GGUGAGUAAUGUCUGGGAAACUGCCUGAUGGAGGGGGAUAACUACUGGAAACGGUAGCUAAUACCGCAUAACGUCGCAAGACCAAAGAGGGGGACCUUCGGGCCUCUUGCCAUCGGAUGUGCCCAGAUGGGAUUAGCUAGUAGGUGGGGUAACGGCUCACCUAGGCGACGAUCCCUAGCUGGUCUGAGAGGAUGACCAGCCACACUGGAACUGAGACACGGUCCAGACUCCUACGGGAGGCAGCAGUGGGGAAUAUUGCACAAUGGGCGCAAGCCUGAUGCAGCCAUGCCGCGUGUAUGAAGAAGGCCUUCGGGUUGUAAAGUACUUUCAGCGGGGAGGAAGGGAGUAAAGUUAAUACCUUUGCUCAUUGACGUUACCCGCAGAAGAAGCACCGGCUAACUCCGUGCCAGCAGCCGCGGUAAUACGGAGGGUGCAAGCGUUAAUCGGAAUUACUGGGCGUAAAGCGCACGCAGGCGGUUUGUUAAGUCAGAUGUGAAAUCCCCGGGCUCAACCUGGGAACUGCAUCUGAUACUGGCAAGCUUGAGUCUCGUAGAGGGGGGUAGAAUUCCAGGUGUAGCGGUGAAAUGCGUAGAGAUCUGGAGGAAUACCGGUGGCGAAGGCGGCCCCCUGGACGAAGACUGACGCUCAGGUGCGAAAGCGUGGGGAGCAAACAGGAUUAGAUACCCUGGUAGUCCACGCCGUAAACGAUGUCGACUUGGAGGUUGUGCCCUUGAGGCGUGGCUUCCGGAGCUAACGCGUUAAGUCGACCGCCUGGGGAGUACGGCCGCAAGGUUAAAACUCAAAUGAAUUGACGGGGGCCCGCACAAGCGGUGGAGCAUGUGGUUUAAUUCGAUGCAACGCGAAGAACCUUACCUGGUCUUGACAUCCACGGAAGUUUUCAGAGAUGAGAAUGUGCCUUCGGGAACCGUGAGACAGGUGCUGCAUGGCUGUCGUCAGCUCGUGUUGUGAAAUGUUGGGUUAAGUCCCGCAACGAGCGCAACCCUUAUCCUUUGUUGCCAGCGGUCCGGCCGGGAACUCAAAGGAGACUGCCAGUGAUAAACUGGAGGAAGGUGGGG
RNAcentral lists this ribosomal RNA (1076 nucleotides) under Escherichia coli. RNAcentral's name for it is "bacterial SSU rRNA". It matches the Rfam family "Bacterial small subunit ribosomal RNA", at positions 105 to 1178 of the family's 1533-position model. The record is from RNAcentral. Lineage: Bacteria; Pseudomonadati; Pseudomonadota; Gammaproteobacteria; Enterobacterales; Enterobacteriaceae.